Molecule: transfer RNA, 85 nt
Filed under: Coriobacteriaceae bacterium
Lineage: Bacteria; Bacillati; Actinomycetota; Coriobacteriia; Coriobacteriales; Coriobacteriaceae
Also listed under: 5 other names
Description: tRNA-Leu
Rfam family: tRNA
About the family: Transfer RNA (tRNA) molecules are approximately 80 nucleotides in length. Their secondary structure includes four short double-helical elements and three loops (D, anti-codon, and T loops).
Source: RNAcentral
GGGGGCGUGGCGGAACGGUAGACGCAGGGGUCUUAAAAACCUCGGCCUUCACGGCGUGUGGGUUCGAGUCCCACCGCCCCUACCA